This 471-nucleotide ribosomal RNA is filed under the name uncultured bacterium. RNAcentral's name for it is "bacterial SSU rRNA". It matches the Rfam family "Bacterial small subunit ribosomal RNA", at positions 364 to 832 of the family's 1533-position model. The record is from RNAcentral.
UUCGCAAUGCCCGAAAGGGUGAAUGAGCGACGCCGCGUGCGGGAUGAAGGGUUUCGGCUUGUAAACCGCUUUUCUUUGGGAAGAAGGUCUGUCUCGUGCAGAUGGGCUCGACGGUACCAGAGGAAUAAGCCUCGGCUAACUCCGUGCCAGCAGCCGCGGUAAGACGGAGGAGGCAAGCGUUGUUCGGAAUUAUUGGGCGUAAAGGGCACGUAGGCGGUUGAGCAAGUCCAUUGUGAAAUCCCCCGGCUUAACCGGGGAACUGCAGUGGAUACUACUUGACUUGAGUGCAGAAGGGGAGAGUGGAAUUCCUGGUGGAGCGGUGAAAUGCGUAGAUAUCAGGAGGAACGCCGGUGGCGAAAGCGACUCUCUGGUCUGUUACUGACGCUGAGGUGCGAAAGCUAGGGGAGCAAACGGGAUUAGAUACCCCGGUAGUCCUAGCCCUAAACGAUGGGCACUAAGUAGAGGGGUUUU